Molecule: long non-coding RNA, 1038 nt
Filed under: Homo sapiens (human)
Lineage: Eukaryota; Metazoa; Chordata; Mammalia; Primates; Hominidae
Description: non-protein coding HIPK1-AS1:2
Source: RNAcentral
GCAUAGUACUGAUUGCAGUAGGAGUCGGUGGGCCUCGAGUAGGUGGGCCUCCGUAGGGAGCCAGCGUGGAUCGAGUGCGGGGCCUGGACUUCCCGCCCCCUCCGCACUGCAGACUCUGCGGUGAUUUAAAGGUGCCUGGCGGUGGUACGGGAUCCAACUGUAAAAUGUCAUCCCAGCUAGUGUGACAUCACCACAGUUUAGUGUGACACCCCCAGAGCUUGGGCAGUGUACGGGACGACAGUGCCUAGCAGAGGAGCUUCACUGCCGGUGAGGGAUUACCUCAGAAACUUCCUUCUACUACUUAAAGUCCUCACAUUGGGCUGACCUGGGAAACAUGAAGAUAAAAAGAGUGGGUAAACAUGCCUGCUUGAUGAGCCAGAAAAAAAGGCAGAAACCUGUGGUCUGGGUAGAACAGAUCCUGCUCAGAAUGUAAGCUUCAAACAUGUUUAUCAUGCCUUGGUUCAACCUAACUCUCUGACAUGUUCCUAAACUCCUGCUCUCUCAAGUUAUGUCCCUUUCCUCUUUUCAAAUAUCUCUCAGAAUUCACCCUUUCGGGAACCUUUGCUGAUUGACUCCUAUUUUAUUUGAAUUCUGCAUCAUCAUCUGAUUACUUAAAUUAACCUGUACCUUCUUUAUUUAUACUUGUUAACUUCUAUUUUCAUUGCUCUUAGGUCCUCAGUCUUUCUCACUAUACGGAGAGCUUCUUAAAGUCUGUAUUUUCUCCUCUUUAGUAUCAUUCACUCAUUCAUCCAGCAAACUGCUUGUGUGCCUGCUCUGUGCUAUACACUCUUCUAGACACUGGGUCAGGUAUGAAUGAGACAGGUGAAUAAAGCAUGGUCUUUUCCCUCAGGGACCUUACAGUCUAAUGAGGAAAAAACGUGUGCAGACAUAUAUAAGAUAAGUGAGAGAGUCGGAGAAGAACAUCAGAAGUGAUAUUUGAGCAUAGUAAGGUCAAAGAAGUUUCAAAGUUUAGUCAUUUGUCCAUUCAGUAACUAUUUAUAGAGCAUCUUCUGUGUGCUAGGCACUAUAUAAGAAAUU